Molecule: long non-coding RNA, 1430 nt
Filed under: Homo sapiens (human)
Lineage: Eukaryota; Metazoa; Chordata; Mammalia; Primates; Hominidae
Description: DDN and PRKAG1 antisense RNA 1 (DDN-AS1)
Source: RNAcentral
GACGGGGCGCUCGCCCCACAGGCGCCAGGCGCUCCGGCCGCAAGGGAGCAGGGAGCCCUGCCAGCUGGGCCACCCGAGGGGCGUUGCGGGGCUCCGGGCGGGGUCGACCCGGGGGGCUCCGUCGGGCCCCACCAGCCUUGCGCCUUUUUCGCUCGGUCUCCUUGGCCUCCCGCUCCUGCGACGCCGCUUUCCUUUUCUCUUGCUCCCGAGCUCGGACCUCGGCCAGGGGCCCCGCCCGCCAGUUGGUCGCCUCCUGCAGCACCCUGGAGGCCCAGGGCCGGCGGGGCGGCGGCUGUGGGGAUCCCGGGCGCGGCCCACACCUGGGACAAUGAGCAGGAACCCAGAGACAGGGUCUUGCUGUGUUGCUGAGCUGGUCUUGAACUCCUGGCCUCCCGCCUCAGUCUCCCAAAGUGCUGGGAUUACAGGGAAUGUGACUUCACUGGACGCAGUAUAAAGAUCUUCAGAUGUCCUCCUGCCGGGGAUUGCAGGGAUCACAGAAAGACCAUCGAGGUCCAGGAGCUACCUGCAAGCGGAGAUCCCUCUGGACGCCCCGUGCCUCACCCAGCAAAGCCGGCUCACAACCCUGCGCUCUCAAACCUCUAAAAGGGCUUGAGGUGCCAAUAGGAAAGGAGGCCCGAGAUUGCCACGGCAUACGUGGGCCCCAAGGAGGGAGCCAGGAGUCACUGCCUGCUUGGGCUAAGGGUACCGCGUACGGAAAGGCGGCGGGGACGCGGCCCAGUUCCAGGAGAUGCGCCCAACGAAGAAGCGGAGGAACAGGGUCACGGGAUAGGGCAGACACCCGGCUGCUUUUUGUUUGCUAGACACCAGCGCCAGCCCCUGCCCGGCCCUCCCGGUCUCCUAAGGGUUGGGGGGGUGUCUUAGGCUCCACAGCGCCCCCGACCGCCCUCCUGCACUCCUCACCGUCUCCAUUGCAAGAGGCGCCCGGCUUGGUUUCCUCGCUUUAGGAAACUCUCUUGGGGCAGGCCCCGCCCCACAUCCGGUGCGGCGACGCCACUUCCGCCCACGUCAUGGCAGUCGCCAGACUGGGGCGGAAGGCAAGGAACCCACCCUUCCGGCGGUGGCGGGCCUCGGUAACCGCCCUCCCCCGGGUCCUCGCGGACCGCACGGAUCCGGCUGACGGCGAGGGUCAUGGGACGGAGCCGCUUGUAUUUAAAAUGUUCUUUUUUUAUUUGUCGUUUAAAAACAAACUUGGAAGAAGCAAAAUCCAAAACUUGCCCUUUGCCUCUCGCAACAUAAAUAUGUACAGUUCAGAAUGAUCGCUGAUACAAAACAUGCCAAGGACAGGGGCGCUGAGGGUGGAGGGAGAGAGGGCGCUUUAAAAAAGGGAACCAUUUCAUCCGUUGUUACGAAGGACCAACCUUGCUGUACAGGAUACACACAACACAAAAUAAAGUCUUCACGGGAUUCAC